CCCAGCAGCUAUAUCAGCCUGCAACACAACUUGCAGCCCACUGAAGCUUAGCAGGUGUGAGCCUGGCCAAUACCUGGAUGGGAGACUCCUGGGAAAAACUAAGGCUGCUGCUGGAA
This 116-nucleotide ribosomal RNA is filed under the name Lepisosteus oculatus (spotted gar). Lineage: Eukaryota; Metazoa; Chordata; Actinopteri; Semionotiformes; Lepisosteidae. The record is from RNAcentral.